This 249-nucleotide ribosomal RNA is filed under the name uncultured bacterium. RNAcentral's name for it is "partial 16S ribosomal RNA". It matches the Rfam family "Bacterial small subunit ribosomal RNA", at positions 84 to 334 of the family's 1533-position model. The record is from RNAcentral.
UUUGAUGGCGACCGGCGCACGGGUGAGUAACACGUAUCCAACCUGCCGAUGACUCGGGGAUAGCCUUUCGAAAGAAAGAUUAAUACCCGAUGGCAUAGUUCUUCCGCAUGGUAGGACUAUUAAAGAAUUUCGGUCAUCGAUGGGGAUGCGUUCCAUUAGGUUGUUGGCGGGGUAACGGCCCACCAAGCCUUCGAUGGAUAGGGGUUCUGAGAGGAAGGUCCCCCACAUUGGAACUGAGACACGGUCCAA